Molecule: ribosomal RNA, 454 nt
Filed under: uncultured Prevotella sp.
Lineage: Bacteria; Pseudomonadati; Bacteroidota; Bacteroidia; Bacteroidales; Prevotellaceae
Description: bacterial SSU rRNA
Rfam family: Bacterial small subunit ribosomal RNA
Source: RNAcentral
ACGGGAGGCAGCAGUGAGGAAUAUUGGUCAAUGGACGAGAGUCUGAACCAGCCAAGUAGCGUGCAGGAUGACGGCCCUAUGGGUUGUAAACUGCUUUUGUACGGGAAUAAAGUGACCUACGUGUAGGUUUUUGCAUGUACCGUAAGAAUAAGGACCGGCUAAUUCCGUGCCAGCAGCCGCGGUAAUACGGAAGGUCCGGGCGUUAUCCGGAUUUAUUGGGUUUAAAGGGAGCGUAGGCCGUGCUUUAAGCGUGUUGUGAAAUGUAGGCGCCCAACGUCUGCACUGCAGCGCGAACUGGAGCACUUGAGUACGCAGGAAGUAGGCGGAAUUCGUCGUGUAGCGGUGAAAUGCUUAGAUAUGACGAAGAACUCCGAUUGGGAAGCCAGCUUACUGUAGCGCCACUGACGCUGAUGCUCGAAAGCGUGGGUAUCGAACAGGAUUAGAUACCCUGGUA